This 253-nucleotide ribosomal RNA is filed under the name uncultured bacterium. RNAcentral's name for it is "partial 16S ribosomal RNA". It matches the Rfam family "Bacterial small subunit ribosomal RNA", at positions 524 to 776 of the family's 1533-position model. The record is from RNAcentral.
UACGUAGGGUGCGAGCGUUGUCCGGAAUUACUGGGCGUAAAGAGCUCGUAGGUGGUUUGUCGCGUUGUUCGUGAAAACCGGGGGCUUAACCCUCGGCGUGCGGGCGAUACGGGCAGACUAGAGUGCGGUAGGGGAGAUUGGAAUUCCUGGUGUAGCGGUGGAAUGCGCAGAUAUCAGGAGGAACACCAAUGGCGAAGGCAGAUCUCUGGGCCGUAACUGACGCUGAGGAGCGAAAGCGUGGGGAGCGAACAGG